UACAGAGGUCCCGAGCGUUGUUCGGAUUCACUGGGCGUAAAGGGUGCGUAGGCGGUUCUGAAAGUCUGAUGUGAAACCUCCAGGCCCAACCUGGAAAUGGCAUUAGAAACUACAGAGCUAGAGGCUUGGAGGGGGAACUGGAAUUCUCGGUGUAGCAGUGAAAUGCGUAGAGAUCGAGAGGAACACCAGUGGCGAAGGCGAGUUCCUGGACAAGUCCUGACGCUGAGGCACGAAAGCCAGGGGAGCAAACAGG
This 253-nucleotide ribosomal RNA is filed under the name uncultured bacterium. Its description in RNAcentral is "partial 16S ribosomal RNA". It matches the Rfam family "Bacterial small subunit ribosomal RNA", at positions 524 to 776 of the family's 1533-position model. The record is from RNAcentral.